UACGGAGGAUCCAAGCGUUCUCCGGAUUUACUGGGUUUAAAGGGUGCGUAGGUGGGUUGGUAAGUCAGUGGUGAAAUACUUUCGCUUAACGAAGGAACUGCCAUUGAUACUACCAGUCUUGAAUACAGUGGAGGUAGGCGGAAUGCGUCAUGUAGCGGUGAAAUGCUUAGAUAUGACGCAGAACACCAAUUGCGAAGGCAGCUUGCUACACUGUUAUUGACACUGAGGCACGAAAGCGUGGGGAUCAAACAGG
Molecule: ribosomal RNA, 253 nt
Filed under: uncultured bacterium
Lineage: Bacteria
Description: partial 16S ribosomal RNA
Rfam family: Bacterial small subunit ribosomal RNA
Source: RNAcentral